AUUGAACGCUGGCGGCAGGCCUAACACAUGCAAGUCGGACGGUAGCACAGGGGAGCUUGCUCCUCGGGUGACGAGUGGCGGACGGGUGAGUAAUGUCUGGGGAUCUGCCCGAUAGAGGGGGAUAACCACUGGAAACGGUGGCUAAUACCGCAUAAUGUCGCAAGACCAAAGAGGGGGACCUUCGGGCCUCUCACUAUCGGAUGAACCCAGAUGGGAUUAGCUAGUAGGCGGGGUAACGGCCCACCUAGGCGACGAUCCCUAGCUGGUCUGAGCGGAUGACCAGGCACACUGGAACUGAGGCACGGUCCAGACUCCUACGGGAGGCAGCAGUGGGGAAUAUUGCACAAUGGGCGCAAGCCUGAUGCGGCCAUGCCGCGUGUAUGAAGAAGGCCUUCGGGUUGUAAAGUACUUUCAGCGGGGAGGAAGGCGGCAAGGUUAAUAACCUUGCCGAUUGACGUUACCCGCAGAAGAAGCACCGGCUAACUCCGUGCCAGCCGCCGCCGUAA
This 506-nucleotide ribosomal RNA is filed under the name uncultured bacterium. RNAcentral describes it as "partial 16S ribosomal RNA". It matches the Rfam family "Bacterial small subunit ribosomal RNA", at positions 29 to 523 of the family's 1533-position model. The record is from RNAcentral.